GCAAAGUAGUUUAGGUGAGAAUAAUAGGUUGUGGACCUAUGGGGGGAUUAUAUUCCUUUGUCA
RNAcentral lists this transfer RNA (63 nucleotides) under Utterbackia peninsularis (peninsular floater). RNAcentral's name for it is "tRNA-His". The record is from RNAcentral. Lineage: Eukaryota; Metazoa; Mollusca; Bivalvia; Unionida; Unionidae.